RNAcentral lists this ribosomal RNA (390 nucleotides) under uncultured bacterium. RNAcentral describes it as "bacterial SSU rRNA". It matches the Rfam family "Bacterial small subunit ribosomal RNA", at positions 423 to 811 of the family's 1533-position model. The record is from RNAcentral.
UUGUAAACUCCUUUUAUCUGGGAAGAAAUGCAUUUUUUCUAAAGUGCUUGACGGUACCAGAGGAAUAAGCACCGGCUAACUCCGUGCCAGCAGCCGCGGUAAUACGGAGGGUGCAAGCGUUAUCCGGAUUCACUGGGUUUAAAGGGUGCGUAGGCGGGCAGGUAAGUCCGUGGUGAAAUCUCUGAGCUUAACUCAGAAACUGCCAUGGAUACUAUUUGUCUUGAAUGUUGUGGAGGUAAGCGGAAUAUGUCAUGUAGCGGUGAAAUGCUUAGAUAUGACAUAGAACACCAAUUGCGAAGGCAGCUUACUACACAAAUAUUGACGCUGAGGCACGAAAGCGUGGGGAUCAAACAGGAUUAGAUACCCUGGUAGUCCACGCCCUAAACGAUG